AUUAUUAACCGAGGUCGGGCACCUCAAAAAAUAAA
RNAcentral lists this non-coding RNA (35 nucleotides) under unclassified sequences. RNAcentral describes it as "S16-Flavobacteria ribosomal protein leader". It matches the Rfam family "S16-Flavobacteria ribosomal protein leader". The record is from RNAcentral.